This is a long non-coding RNA of Quercus lobata, 1011 nucleotides long. RefSeq lists it as uncharacterized. The record is from RefSeq and is a predicted model, not a curated record. The transcript has 2 exons. NCBI's taxonomy places the organism in Eukaryota, Viridiplantae, Streptophyta, Magnoliopsida, Fagales, Fagaceae.
ACUCACGCCAUUCAGCUCAGACAAAACAGAAGAAAACAGAGAAACCCCUAAGCUCUAAGCUCUGCUUCCUUCACGCCGAACCUCCACCACCGCCACAGCCUGAUCGUCGGAGCAGAACGAAGAAAGAAAACCAACCCAGACAAAAGCUCACGCCUUCACCUUUGCUUCCUCUGCUUCCUUCACGCCGAACCUCCACCACCGCCACACAGAUCGCAAACCCACUAAACAGUACAGCUCGCUUAAACCCCAAAUUAGAACCAAAACGAGUUAGGCAAAAAUUUCUGGUUUCCUCUGCUUCCUCCCUCUUCCAUCCUCUUCUUCAUCUUGCCCAAAUCUCCACCACACCACACACCGAAGCAUACCGCCACACAAGUCACCGGAUUCGUUGCUAGAGCUUGUAAACAUGCCGGAGCCACCGUGAGCAUGGUGUUGCGAUGCAAAGGAUGUGGAAGACCAAAAGCAGCUGGCAAAUGUUUGGCAAAGGACUAGAGAUCUUGGUGUCUACAGCUAUUAAAUAGUUCUCUCUUUGGAAAAUCUUCAUCGGUAUCGAGUAAGGGUGGAGACGAGGUGUGAGAUUUGUAGUCCCCAAUCUGAAACUGUAAGCCAUAUCUGGUGGGAGUGCCCAUUUGCACAAAACGUGUGGGCUUUAUUCAAAGGUUGAACACAAAAAUGCAGCUAGCAAGAAUUAGAGAAGUGGGCCGUUACAGCGUGGGCAAUAUGGAAUGUGAGGAAUAAAUUUUAUUUCGAACAUUUCCAAACUCAUCCAAAGGUGAUCCUCGACUUGGCAAAUGGCUUGUGUGAAGAAUACCAACAUCUUAUGGAUAGGCACUGAGUGACUCGAUGUACCAUCUUCAAGAUGUGGUUUUGAAUGCCUAUUGCAUGUAAAAGGUUGAUUUGAAUCACCAAAUGACAAGUUUACAUUAUUGUGAUCUUCGUUUAUUUCUGACUUGUCAUGUACUAAGUCAUCCACCAUAUCACAAAGUAAGAUUGUUUCAGGUUCUUUGUUGUUCA